Molecule: ribosomal RNA, 531 nt
Filed under: uncultured bacterium
Lineage: Bacteria
Description: bacterial SSU rRNA
Rfam family: Bacterial small subunit ribosomal RNA
Source: RNAcentral
AGUAAAUAGAUACCCCGGUAGUCCACACUGUAAACGAUGAGUGUUAAAUAUUGGGUAUAAAUACUCAAAUGUUACAGCUAAACGCGUCAAACACUCCGCCUGGGGAGUAUAAUCGCAAGGUUGAAACUCAAAGGAAUUGACGGGGACCCGUACAAGCGGUGGAGCAUGUGGUUUAAUUCGAAAAACAACGCGCAGAACCUUACCAGCUCUUGACAUUAAAUUUGAAUCACGAGAGUGAUUCAUUAUAACAGUAAUUGUUAAGUUUAAUACAGGUGUUGCAUGGCUGUCGUCAGCUCGUGUCGUGAGAUGUUGGGUUAAGUCCUAUAACGAGCGCAACCCUUAUCACUAGUUGCUAAUCAUUUAUUGAUGCACUCUAGCGAAACUGCCUGUGAUAAACAGGAGGAAGGUGGGGAUGACGUCAAGUCCUCAUGACCCUUAUGGGCUGGGCUACACACGUGCUACAAUGGUAAUGACAAUAGGAAGCAAUGACGCGAGUCGGAGCAAAACCUCUAAACAUUACCUCAGUUCAGA